CCUACGGGUGGCAGCAGUGGGGAAUAUUGCACAAUGGGGGAAACCCUGAUGCAGCGACGCCGCGUGAGUGAAGAAGUCCUUCGUUACGUAAGGCUCUAUCAGCAGGGAAGAAACACUGACCUUACGUUCAGCCGUCUGUACCUGCGUCAGAAGCCCCUGCUAACUCCGUGCCAGCAGCCGCGGUAAUACGUAGGGGGCACGCGUUAUCCGGGUGUACUGGGGGUAAAGGGGGCGUAGACGGUGCGCCAAGUCUGGAGUGAAAUGCCGCGGCUUAACUGCGGAACUGCUUUGGAAACUGGCGAACGAGAGUGCGGGAGGGGCAAGCGGAAUUCGCGGUGUAGCGGUGAAAUGCGUAGAUAUCAGGAGGAACCCCGGUGGCGAAGGCGGCUUACUGGACCGUAACUGACGUUGAGGCUCGAAAGCGUGGGGAGCAAACAGGAUUAGAUACCCUAGUAGUC
Molecule: ribosomal RNA, 458 nt
Filed under: uncultured bacterium
Lineage: Bacteria
Description: partial 16S ribosomal RNA
Rfam family: Bacterial small subunit ribosomal RNA
Source: RNAcentral